UACAGAGGGUGCAAGCGUUGUUCGGAAUUACUGGGCGUAAAGCGCGUGUAGGCGGUUUUUCAAGUCUUGUGUGAAAGCCCUGGGCUUAACCCAGGAAGUGCGCAAGAUACUGGAGAGCUGGAGUGUCGGAGAGGAUGGCGGAAUUCCCGGUGUAGAGGUGAAAUUCGUAGAUAUCGGGAGGAACACCUGUGGCGAAGGCGGCCAUCUGGACGAUAACUGACGCUGAGACGCGAAAGCAUGGGGAGCAAACAGG
RNAcentral lists this ribosomal RNA (253 nucleotides) under uncultured bacterium. Its description in RNAcentral is "partial 16S ribosomal RNA". It matches the Rfam family "Bacterial small subunit ribosomal RNA", at positions 524 to 776 of the family's 1533-position model. The record is from RNAcentral.